CACCACCCUAAAUCCUAAGACCUUGAUACGGCAAGCAGCAACCCAUGUCCCUCUAGACUAUUAGAGUAGUUAAAGUAUAGUGGUGCACUGUAGAAGCCAUGUGGACUAUGAACCUUGUAUUUAAUAUAGUUCACAUGUGUUUAAUAUGAUUUUAUUUAUUUUUAAUAUUAUAUAUAUUAUAAUUUUAUUUAUUAAUUUUAUAUUAAUCUUAAAUUAUUUUUAACCUAAAUGAUAAUAUGAG
Molecule: long non-coding RNA, 241 nt
Filed under: Elaeis guineensis (African oil palm)
Lineage: Eukaryota; Viridiplantae; Streptophyta; Magnoliopsida; Arecales; Arecaceae
Description: long non-coding RNA (EGUI_LNC036385)
Source: RNAcentral